This 466-nucleotide ribosomal RNA is filed under the name uncultured bacterium. RNAcentral describes it as "partial 16S ribosomal RNA". It matches the Rfam family "Bacterial small subunit ribosomal RNA", at positions 339 to 795 of the family's 1533-position model. The record is from RNAcentral.
CUACGGGUGGCUGCAGUGGGGAAUUUUGGACAAUGGGGGAAACCCUGAUCCAGCAAUGCCGCGUGUGUGAAGAAGGCCUGCGGGUUGUAAAGCACUUUCGGUUGGGAGGACUGCUUCUAGCACUAAUAUUGUUGGAAGUUGACGUUACCUUCAGAAGAAGCACCGGCUAACUCCGUGCCAGCAGCCGCGGUAAUACGGGAGGGUGCAAGCGUUAAUCGGAAUUACUGGGCGUAAAGCGCGCGUAGGCGGCUAGAUCAGUCGGGUGUGAAAGCCCCGGGCUUAACCUGGGAACUGCAUCCGAUACUGUCUAGCUUGAGUACAGGAGAGGAGAGUGGAAUUCCACAUGUAGCGGUGAAAUGCGUAGAUAUGUGGAGGAACACCAAUGGCGAAGGCAGCUCUCUGGCCUGAUACUGACGCUGAGGUGCGAAAGCGUGGGGAGCAAACAGGAUUAGAUACCCCCGUAGUC